GGCUGCGAUCAUACCAGCACUAAUGCACUAUAUCCCAUCAGAAUUCCACAAGUAAGCGUGCAAGGACGAGAGUAGUACUAGGAUGGGUGAGCUCCUUGGAAGUCCUCGUGUUGCACCUC
Molecule: ribosomal RNA, 119 nt
Organism: Lupinus angustifolius (narrow-leaved blue lupine)
Lineage: Eukaryota; Viridiplantae; Streptophyta; Magnoliopsida; Fabales; Fabaceae
Source: Rfam